GUCCUACGGGGGGCAGCAGUGAGGAAUAUUGGUCAAUGGGCGCGAGCCUGAACCAGCCAAGUAGCGUGAAGGAUGACUGCCCUACGGGUUGUAAACUUCUUUUAUAAAGGAAUAAAGUGAGGCACGUGUGCCUUUUUGUAUGUACUUUAUGAAUAAGGAUCGGCUAACUCCGUGCCAGCAGCCGCGGUAAUACGGAGGAUCCGAGCGUUAUCCGGAUUUAUUGGGUUUAAAGGGUGCGCAGGCGGCCUGUUAAGUCAGCGGUAAAAGCCCGGGGCUCAACCCCGGCGAGCCAUUGAAACUGGCGG
RNAcentral lists this ribosomal RNA (305 nucleotides) under uncultured bacterium. RNAcentral describes it as "bacterial SSU rRNA". It matches the Rfam family "Bacterial small subunit ribosomal RNA", at positions 335 to 639 of the family's 1533-position model. The record is from RNAcentral.